Molecule: transfer RNA, 75 nt
Filed under: Candidatus Moraniibacteriota bacterium
Lineage: Bacteria; Candidatus Moraniibacteriota
Description: Candidatus Moranbacteria bacterium (sediment metagenome) tRNA-Met
Rfam family: tRNA
About the family: Transfer RNA (tRNA) molecules are approximately 80 nucleotides in length.
Source: RNAcentral
AGCGGGGUGGAGCAAUGGCAGCUCGCGUGGCUCAUAACCACGAGGUUCCCGGUUCGAGUCCGGGCCCCGCAACAA